CAUGUGUUAUACAAAAUAAAUGA
This 23-nucleotide small nuclear RNA is filed under the name Arabidopsis thaliana (thale cress). RNAcentral's name for it is "snRNA_12141". The record is from RNAcentral. Lineage: Eukaryota; Viridiplantae; Streptophyta; Magnoliopsida; Brassicales; Brassicaceae.